AGAGUUUGAUCAUGGCUCAGAUUGAACGCUGGCGGCAGGCCUAACACAUGCAAGUCGAGCGGUAGCACAGAGAGCUUGCUCUCGGGUGACGAGCGGCGGACGGGUGAGUAAUGUCUGGGAAACUGCCUGAUGGAGGGGGAUAACUACUGGAAACGGUAGCUAAUACCGCAUAACGUCGCAAGACCAAAGUGGGGGACCUUCGGGCCUCAUGCCAUCAGAUGUGCCCAGAUGGGAUUAGCUAGUAGGUGGGGUAACGGCUCACCUAGGCGACGAUCCCUAGCUGGUCUGAGAGGAUGACCAGCCACACUGGAACUGAGACACGGUCCAGACUCCUACGGGAGGCAGCAGUGGGGAAUAUUGCACAAUGGGCGCAAGCCUGAUGCAGCCAUGCCGCGUGUGUGAAGAAGGCCUUCGGGUUGUAAAGCACUUUCAGCGGGGAGGAAGGCGNUAAGGUUAAUAACCUUGGCGAUUGACGUUACCCGCAGAAGAAGCACCGGCUAACUCCGUGCCAGCAGCCGCGGUAAUACGGAGGGUGCAAGCGUUAAUCGGAAUUACUGGGCGUAAAGCGCACGCAGGCGGUCUGUCAAGUCGGAUGUGAAAUCCCCGGGCUCAACCUGGGAACUGCAUUCGAAACUGGCAGGCUAGAGUCUUGUAGAGGGGGGUAGAAUUCCAGGUGUAGCGGUGAAAUGCGUAGAGAUCUGGAGGAAUACCGGUGGCGAAGGCGGCCCCCUGGACAAAGACUGACGCUCAGGUGCGAAAGCGUGGGGAGCAAACAGGAUUAGAUACCCUGGUAGUCCACGCCGUAAACGAUGUCGAUUUGGAGGUUGUGCCCUUGAGGCGUGGCUUCCGGAGCUAACGCGUUAAAUCGACCGCCUGGGGAGUACGGCCGCAAGGUUAAAACUCAAAUGAAUUGACGGGGGCCCGCACAAGCGGUGGAGCAUGUGGUUUAAUUCGAUGCAACGCGAAGAACCUUACCUGGUCUUGACAUCCACAGAACUUUCCAGAGAUGGAUUGGUGCCUUCGGGAACUGUGAGACAGGUGCUGCAUGGCUGUCGUCAGCUCGUGUUGUGAAAUGUUGGGUUAAGUCCCGCAACGAGCGCAACCCUUAUCCUUUGUUGCCAGCGGUUAGGCCGGGAACUCAAAGGAGACUGCCAGUGAUAAACUGGAGGAAGGUGGGGAUGACGUCAAGUCAUCAUGGCCCUUACGACCAGGGCUACACACGUGCUACAAUGGCAUAUACAAAGAGAAGCGACCUCGCGAGAGCAAGCGGACCUCAUAAAGUAUGUCGUAGUCCGGAUUGGAGUCUGCAACUCGACUCCAUGAAGUCGGAAUCGCUAGUAAUCGUAGAUCAGAAUGCUACGGUGAAUACGUUCCCGGGCCUUGUACACACCGCCCGUCACACCAUGGGAGUGGGUUGCAAAAGAAGUAGGUAGCUUAACCUUCGGGAGGGCGCUUACCACUUUGUGAUUCAUGACUGGGGUGAAGUCGUAACAAGGUAACCGUAGGGGAACCUGCGGUUGGAUCACCU
This 1528-nucleotide ribosomal RNA is filed under the name Klebsiella pneumoniae. RNAcentral describes it as "bacterial SSU rRNA". It matches the Rfam family "Bacterial small subunit ribosomal RNA". Lineage: Bacteria; Pseudomonadati; Pseudomonadota; Gammaproteobacteria; Enterobacterales; Enterobacteriaceae. The record is from RNAcentral.